RNAcentral lists this ribosomal RNA (253 nucleotides) under uncultured bacterium. Its description in RNAcentral is "partial 16S ribosomal RNA". It matches the Rfam family "Bacterial small subunit ribosomal RNA", at positions 524 to 776 of the family's 1533-position model. The record is from RNAcentral.
UACGAAGGGGACUAGCGUUGUUCGGAAUUACUGGGCGUAAAGCGCGUGUAGGUGGCCACGCAAGUCAGGUGUGAAAGCCCUGGGCUCAACCCAGGAAGUGCACAUGAUACUACGUGGCUGGAGUACUGAAGAGGAGAGCGGAAUUCCCGGUGUAGAGGUGAAAUUCGUAGAUAUCGGGAGGAACACCAGUGGCGAAGGCGGCUCUCUGGGCAGAUACUGACACUGAGACGCGAAAGCGUGGGUAGCAAACAGG